UUAUAAAUCCCCAGACAAUAAAACAAUGGGAUAGAAAAGCAGGGCUACAUUUUCCAUAUUGAAAACUCAUAACCACACUUUUAUACAUAGCAUAACAGGCUUUCAUUAUACUUUACAUUACUAUUCACCAAGGUCUGAUUUAACAAAUCUACAAAUAUUCACAAGGUUUUCAAAAUGAGGGAGGUCUCAAUCCUUCUACAGGUCGUACUCAAAAUCAUCCUCUUCACCCUCCUCUGAUUCCUCGCUAGGCUUUUCUUGGAAUCCUCCUUUUAAAGAUCUUCCGCCUAAGGGCCUGAAAUUGGUUUUUACAACAACCAAUGAGACGAUGUCUCAGCGAGUCCUACCCCCUAAGACUCGAUUAGGAAACCAAUACACCACCAGGUUACCUAGCACAACACGAGUCAGAUGACUUACCUUGGCAUCAAUUUCCAACCUGCAAUUUAAGGUUAUGCACAUAUGCUUCAUAUAUUGCAUUAAAACAUUCAAUCAAUUCACAACCUCUGGAUCAACUCAUUGAUCAAUCGACCUAGUCGAUUCACAUGUCAGUUAAACCAUCCUUGGGUCACUUCACUUCCCAUCAUCACACCCCCAGCAGUACACUUAGUCACAUAGCUUCAUUAGUGCUCUCGGGCAUUACUUCUGCCAAGGUGUCGUGUAUAAUGGACAGCACUCGUGCGUUCUUUAAGGCGCCGUUUUCACCAAUGAUACUCUCCCUCACCGAACCACGUAUGUCCAUACUGCUGCAUGUAAUAGACAACACUCGUGCGUUUUUUAAGGCGCCGUUUUCACCAGUGAUAUCCUUUAAUCACCGAACCACGUAUGUCUCAUUGCAUCGGUCAUGAUUGGUUUCAGCCGAGAAUUUCCCCAAUUCACUUUCAUAGUGCCCUCUGCUUUACAGCUCAUCAAUGUUAAAUAGUCAUACUCAUACUCGGCCAUCAACCAAUCAAUCACUCAAUUUAAUUCAAUUUGGGAUAAAUCCCUAAUUUGCACAAUCAAUUCAAAUCCGCGCAAUGUAGAGCUCAAAUAAAUAAACGGAUUGCACCACGAUAAUCAGCACGAAAUUCCGGUCACCGGCCAUCCCGGGUGAAUUUCCGGAAAAUAAUUAAAUAAAUAAUUAAUUUCGAAAAUUAAAUAAAUAAAUACGAUAAAUUCAAUUUAGCACAAAUAAAGCUCAAUUAAAUAAACGGACUGCACCACGAUCAUCAGCAUAAAAUCCUGGUCACUGGCCAUUCCAGUUGAAUUUCCGAGAAAUAAAUAAUUAAUUAAAUUAAUUUCGAAAAUUAAUAUUAAAUUCCUAAAAAUUCCUUCUAGG
RNAcentral lists this long non-coding RNA (1312 nucleotides) under Eucalyptus grandis. Its description in RNAcentral is "long non-coding RNA (EGRA_LNC001045)". Lineage: Eukaryota; Viridiplantae; Streptophyta; Magnoliopsida; Myrtales; Myrtaceae. The record is from RNAcentral.